UGGGGAAUUUUGGACAAUGGGCGAAAGCCUGAUCCAGCAAUGCCGCGUGUGUGAAGAAGGCCUUCGGGUUGUAAAGCACUUUUGUCCGGAAAGAAAUCCUUGGCUCUAAUACAGUCGGGGGAUGACGGUACCGGAAGAAUAAGCACCGGCUAACUACGUGCCAGCAGCCGCGGUAAUACGUAGGGUGCAAGCGUUAAUCGGAAUUACUGGGCGUAAAGCGUGCGCAGGCGGUUUGCUAAGACCGAUGUGAAAUCCCCGGGCUCAACCUGGGAACUGCAUUGGUGACUGGCAGGCUAGAGUAUGGCAGAGGGGGGUAGAAUUCCACGUGUAGCAGUGAAAUGCGUAGAGAUGUGGAGGAAUACCGAUGGCGAAGGCAGCCCCCCUGGGCCAAUACUGACGCUCAUGCACGAAAGCGUGGGGAGCAAAACAGGAUUAGAUACCCUGGUAGUCCACGCCCUAAAACGAUGUCAACUAGUUGUUGGGGAUUCAUUUCCUUAGUAACGUAGCUAACGCGUGAAGUUGACCGCCUGGGGAGUACGGUCGCAAGAUUAAAACUUAAAUGAAUUGACGGGGUCAUAGCUG
Molecule: ribosomal RNA, 582 nt
Filed under: uncultured bacterium
Lineage: Bacteria
Description: partial 16S ribosomal RNA
Rfam family: Bacterial small subunit ribosomal RNA
Source: RNAcentral